UGUGAACUCGAAGAGUAGGGCGGGACACGUGGUAUCCUGUCUGAAUAUGGGGGGACCAUCCUCCAAGGCUAAAUACUCCUGACUGACCGAUAGUGAACCAGUACCGUGAGGGAAAGGCGAAAAGAACCCCGGCGAGGGGAGUGAAAAAGAACCUGAAACCGUGUACGUACAAGCAGUGGGAGCACCUUCGGGUGUGACUGCGUACCUUUUGUAUAAUGGGUCAGCGACUUAUAUUCUGUAGCAAGGUUAACCGUAUAGGGGAGCCGCAGGGAAACCGAGUCUUAACUGGGCGUUAAGUUGCAGGGUAUAGACCCGAAACCCGGUGAUCUAGCCAUGGGCAGGUUGAAGGUUGGGUAACACUAACUGGAGGACCGAACCGACUAAUGUUGAAAAAUUAGCGGAUGACUUGUGGCUGGGGGUGAAAGGCCAAUCAAACCGGGAGAUAGCUGGUUCUCCCCGAAAGCUAUUUAGGUAGCGCCUCGUGAACUCAUCUUCGGGGGUAGAGCACUGUUUCGGCUAGGGGGUCAUCCCGACUUACCAACCCGAUGCAAACUACGAAUACCGAAGAAUGUUAUCACGGGAGACACACGGCGGGUGCUAACGUCCGUCGUGAAGAGGGAAACAACCCAGACCGCCAGCUAAGGUCCCAAAGUCAUGGUUAAGUGGGAAACGAUGUGGGAAGGCACAGACAGCCAGGAUGUUGGCUUAGAAGCAGCCAUCAUUUAAAGAAAGCGUAAUAGCUCACUGGUCGAGUCGGCCUGCGCGGAAGAUGUAACGGGGCUAAACCAUGCACCGAAGCUGCGGCAGCGACACUAUGUGUUGUUGGGUAGGGGAGCGUUCUGUAAGCCUGCGAAGGUGACCUGUGAGGGUUGCUGGAGGUAUCAGAAGUGCGAAUGCUGACAUAAGUAACGAUAAAGCGGGUGAAAAGCCCGCUCGCCGGAAGACCAAGGGUUCCUGUCCAACGUUAAUCGGGGCAGGGUGAGUCGACCCCUAAGGC
This 997-nucleotide ribosomal RNA is filed under the name Klebsiella pneumoniae. Its description in RNAcentral is "partial 23S ribosomal RNA". It matches the Rfam family "Bacterial large subunit ribosomal RNA", at positions 398 to 1397 of the family's 2925-position model. Lineage: Bacteria; Pseudomonadati; Pseudomonadota; Gammaproteobacteria; Enterobacterales; Enterobacteriaceae. The record is from RNAcentral.